Vespula pensylvanica (western yellowjacket) is the source of this 674-nucleotide long non-coding RNA. RefSeq lists it as uncharacterized. The record is from RefSeq and is a predicted model, not a curated record. The transcript has 2 exons. NCBI's taxonomy places the organism in Eukaryota, Metazoa, Arthropoda, Insecta, Hymenoptera, Vespidae.
UUUAAUGCUUUUUAUUUAUAAUUGAUUAUUUUUAUACAGAUUAAAUGCUUAUAAAUAUGCUAAUACAGAUAUUAUUCUAUUAUUCCUGUGAAAUUUAUCUAUGAAACUAUAAGUUAAUUUUGAAUUUCAAACGGUAGACGACAUAUCAUUACUAUAUAACAUGAUGGCUAUGCCACGUUCACUUCCAAUUUCUAUACAAAGUAUGAGACAAAACAAUAAUUAAAAUAACUAAGAGAAUACAUAUCUAUAUUUCCAUACUAUGUAUACAAUUUUUAAAUGGUUAUUGAUAUCAAGAAAAUAACUAAAAACGACAUACAAUUAAAAAUUCUGCUGUUGGUUACACUGCUGAUCGAGUUAAUAUUGAUUAAAGUUAAUCGAAGUUGGUCGAAGUGACUCUUACUUUCUUUUAUGCCACACACAUCUUUUACGAUACUAACCGUAAUGUAGCAAUUUGCAAGCAUAUAGCAUCAUAACACAGCAUUGAGAUGGUAACGUAAGGCCAUCGUACACAAAAGUUUAUCAUCCAUUAAAGCAAAAUACCAAGAGAUGAUGAAAGAAAAAGGCAGAAUAUUUGCAGGACUACUGAUUGUGAUUAUGGGGUUGAUAGUAUUACAGUAAAAAAACUCUCAAAUGUGGUUAAAUUAUUAAUGGUGGAUACGACCUAUUAAUCAUAG